RNAcentral lists this ribosomal RNA (494 nucleotides) under uncultured bacterium. RNAcentral's name for it is "partial 16S ribosomal RNA". It matches the Rfam family "Bacterial small subunit ribosomal RNA", at positions 28 to 507 of the family's 1533-position model. The record is from RNAcentral.
GACGAACGCCGGCGGCGUGCUUAACACAUGCAAGUCGAACGGAAAGGCCUGCUUUCCCUUGUGGAUUGCGGGUACUCGAGUGGCGAACGGGUGAGUAACACGUGAGUGAUCUGCCCCCAACUUGGGUAUAAGCCUGGGAAACUGGGUCUAAUUCCCGAUAGGACUGCAGGGUGGUGCCUGUGGUGGAAAACGAUUUUCUAGUGGUUGGGGAUGAGCUCGCGGCCUAUCAGCUUGUUGGUGGGGUAAUGGCCUACCAAGGCGGCGACGGGUAGCCGGCCUGAGAGCGUGGACGGCCACAUUGGGACUGAGAUACGGCCCAGACUGCUACGGGGGGCAGCAGUGGGGAAGAUUGCACAAUGGGCGGAAGCCUGGUGCAGCGACGCCGCGUGAGGGAUGACGGCCUUCGGGUUGUGAACUCCUUUCGACCGCGAGGAAGCCACCUGGUUGGAAGGGUGGUGACGGUAGUGGUAGAAGAAGCACCGGCUAACUACGUG